UGGUUGCCCUCCAUUGAUGAAGCUUUUGUUGGCACCAUAAAUUGAUUUUGCUUCACACUGUCUUGAUCAAGAGUGUGUGAAGCUUUCUACGAGUUGUAGUGUUUGCAUUGUUACAGUGGGGAAAUGUUUGAAGCAGAUGCAAGAGGGCUGAAUAGCUUGAUCUUCAUAUGCCAUGCACUGAAGUUGUUGUUGGCUUGCAAUAAGGCUUUGUUGGUGACUAUAACUCUUGUUGGGCAUAAGUGCUCCCUUAGUUGAGUUGUCAAGCUUGAGGGUUUUUUAUUAUUUGUGAAUGCUAGGAGUUCACAUGUACAAGUUGUACC
Molecule: long non-coding RNA, 320 nt
Filed under: Malus domestica (apple)
Lineage: Eukaryota; Viridiplantae; Streptophyta; Magnoliopsida; Rosales; Rosaceae
Description: long non-coding RNA (MDOM_LNC018052)
Source: RNAcentral